ACUCCUACGGGAGGCAGCAGUAGGGAAUCUUCCACAAUGGGCGCAAGCCUGAUGGAGCAACACCGCGUGAGUGAAGAAGGGUUUCGGCUCGUAAAGCUCUGUUGUUAAAGAAGAACACGUAUGAGAGUAACUGUUCAUACGUUGACGGUAUUUAACCAGAAAGUCACGGCUAACUACGUGCCAGCAGCCGCGGUAAUACGUAGGUGGCAAGCGUUAUCCGGAUUUAUUGGGCGUAAAGAGAGUGCAGGCGGUUUUCUAAGUCUGAUGUGAAAGCCUUCGGCUUAACCGGAGAAGUGCAUCGGAAACUGGAUAACUUGAGUGCAGAAGAGGGUAGUGGAACUCCAUGUGUAGCGGUGGAAUGCGUAGAUAUAUGGAAGAACACCAGUGGCGAAGGCGGGCUACCUGGUCUGCAACUGACGCUGAGACUCGAAAGCAUGGGUAGCGAACAGGAUUAGAUACCCC
This 462-nucleotide ribosomal RNA is filed under the name uncultured bacterium. RNAcentral's name for it is "bacterial SSU rRNA". It matches the Rfam family "Bacterial small subunit ribosomal RNA", at positions 335 to 788 of the family's 1533-position model. The record is from RNAcentral.